CCUACGGGAGGCAGCAGUGGGGAAUAUUGCGCAAUGGGCGAAAGCCUGACGCAGCCACGCCGCGUGAGGGAUGAAGGUCUUCGGAUCGUAAACCUCUUUCAGCAGGGAAGAACGGUCACUGUGCUAAUCAUCAGUUAAUUGACGUUACCUGCAAAAGAAGCACCGGCUAACUCCGUGCCAGCAGCCGCGGUAAUACGGAGGGUGCGAGCGUUAAUCGAAAUUACUGGGCGGAAAGGGCUCGUAGGCGGUCUGUCAAGUCAAGGGUGAAAGCCCCGGGCUCAACGUGGGAACUGCAUUUGAAACUGGGAGACUGGAGUGCGUGAGGGGAGGGUGGAAGUCCAGGUGUAGGGGUGAAAUGCGUAGAUAUCUGGAGGAACAGCGGUGGCGAAGGCGACUCUCUGGGAAAGAACUGACGCUGAGGAGCGAAAGCGUGGGUAGCAAACAGGAUUAGAUACCCGGGUAGUC
RNAcentral lists this ribosomal RNA (465 nucleotides) under uncultured bacterium. Its description in RNAcentral is "partial 16S ribosomal RNA". It matches the Rfam family "Bacterial small subunit ribosomal RNA", at positions 338 to 795 of the family's 1533-position model. The record is from RNAcentral.